AGGUUAAAGUGGAAAGUACAUUUUGAAGAAUUUAAAGAAGCACCUAAGUCUUGUGGAAAUACAGGUUGACUGUAUGGGACCACAGAUUUCUGCUCUGGUCCAUCUGUUCUGAUGAAAACCUAGAAAAGGUUUUACUGCUUCACUUCAGUGGCCGAGGUUUGAAGUUAUUCACUGGAGUGGAAAUGCAAGCUUUGCUCUCUAAUUUUAAACACAAUAGAAAAAUUAUUCACACAUUAUUUGUCUUAAUAAUGUCUGUAUCAUGCCAGUUUUUCCAGAGUUAAUCCUUUGCAAUGUCUUUAUGACAACUGUUUUUGCACAUUUCCAUCAUUCAAUGCAAUGAAAACCCAUAUAUCUCGGUAUCGUGAUGCAGAUAAUUCUGUGCACAAAGAGGCACAAGUAUAUUUCACAUGAACUUUGUGUGACUUUAAGAAACUUUUUAGUGAGGCCAAAAUCUUUAGUUAUUUACGAAGCCAUUUAAGG
Girardinichthys multiradiatus is the source of this 480-nucleotide long non-coding RNA. RefSeq lists it as uncharacterized. Lineage: Eukaryota; Metazoa; Chordata; Actinopteri; Cyprinodontiformes; Goodeidae. The record is from RefSeq and is a predicted model, not a curated record. The transcript has 3 exons.